Molecule: ribosomal RNA, 424 nt
Filed under: uncultured soil bacterium
Lineage: Bacteria
Description: bacterial SSU rRNA
Rfam family: Bacterial small subunit ribosomal RNA
Source: RNAcentral
AGGACGAACGCUGGCGGCGUGCUUAACACAUGCAAGUCGAGCGGUAAGGCCUUUCGGGGUACACGAGCGGCGAACGGGUGAGUAACACGUGGGUGAUCUGCCCUGCACUUCGGGAUAAGCCUGGGAAACUGGGUCUAAUACCGGAUAUGACCUCCGAUCGCAUGGUUGGUGGUGGAAAGAUUUAUCGGUGCAGGAUGGGCCCGCGGCCUAUCAGCUUGUUGGGUGGGUAAUCGGCCUACCAAGGCGACGACGGGUAGCCGACCUGAGAGGGUCGACCGGCCACGACGUGGGACUGACGACCACCGGCCCAGACCUCCGUACGGGGAGGCAGCAGGUAGGGAAUAGUUGCAACCAAGUCGGGACGAAACGCUGAUGCACGCGACGCCGCGGUAGGACGGAGUCGGACGGUCCGUUUACGGGUUAC